CCCAAACACCCGGACACCACAGGUGCUGCAGACAGUUCCCAUGGGAUGCUGGUGGUGGCAGUGGCUGGGGGCUGCACUGCUGCCUUUGUCUUCAUCCUCAUCCUUGUUGUCUUCUUCCUCCUCGGUGCCUGCAGACGUCGGAUACGGAGAGAUGAGUGCCCUGGCACCCCUGCAGAAAGGCCUGAGGACAUGGAAUUCCAGGUGCCUUCCAGUGACAGCGAGGGUCUGACCUACAUGGAGCUGCAAGCUGUGACCCCCAGCACUCAGCCCC
Non-coding RNA from Phasianus colchicus (ring-necked pheasant), 271 nucleotides. Lineage: Eukaryota; Metazoa; Chordata; Aves; Galliformes; Phasianidae. The record is from RefSeq and is a predicted model, not a curated record.